UACAGAGGUCCCAAGCGUUGUUCGGAUUCAUUGGGCGUAAAGGGUGCGUAGGCGGCCCUGUAAGUCAGUGCUGAAAUAUCCCAGCUUAACUGGGAGGGUGGCAUUGAUACUGCGGGGCUAGAGUACAGAUGAGGUAGGCGGAAUUGACGGUGUAGCGGUGAAAUGCUUAGAUAUCGUCAAGAACACCUAUAGCGAAGGCAGCUUACUAGGCUGUAACUGACGCUGAGGCACGAAAGUGUGGGGAUCAAACAGG
Molecule: ribosomal RNA, 253 nt
Filed under: uncultured bacterium
Lineage: Bacteria
Description: partial 16S ribosomal RNA
Rfam family: Bacterial small subunit ribosomal RNA
Source: RNAcentral